AAGAUAAAACUAUCUUUCAAUCCAAGAUCUUGAAACUUUACAUGAGGAAGCAUCUUAUCUUAGCCGUUGAGCGAUGUUGGUCAACGGGAAAAUAAGAGACCACACAUUCAAAGCCCAGAGCUCGGUCAAGAUCAAACGCUCGCGUUGCUCCCUCUCGCUAUGGCGAGCCCAGUCCAUUCCACAGCACUGGUCACAAGAAAGCUAGCUUUUACACUCUCCUUUCCUUCGUCUAGUUCUUCCUUCCUAGCGGGACGCGGAGUCUGGACGCAACCUGGCUUCUCCCAUCAAAACCACGAAAAAGAACAAAGAAAUUCACUCACCAGUCGAUCCAGCUCUAGGUUUUAGCUUGAUUGGUUUCGUUGCCUCUCGUCCAGGAUGAUCCCCAGCUCCAAUUCCCAGCUGCUACUGCUGCUGGCGCUGCUAACUCUCUCCUCGGCCGCGACCCAAGGAAGUGUCCCUGGAAUCUAUCUCGUCACUGAUGAACAAAACAGCACCAAAAACGCGUCAGGCAUGGCGAUGAUCCAGCCAGACUACCUGAGAGGAGGAAUGGCAGACAGCGCUUGCGGCGACGUCCAAACUCCUUCACGACGCGUCUUGCUCGAGGAAUCCAGGAAGACCUCGCUCAAGAUGGAGCUCAAGCACAGGGAUCACAGGCAGCCCACCAGCAACAGGAGGUCGCUGCUGCUGGAAUCGCUCAAGCGAGACAUCACUCGCCUCCAAUC
Molecule: long non-coding RNA, 722 nt
Filed under: Selaginella moellendorffii
Lineage: Eukaryota; Viridiplantae; Streptophyta; Lycopodiopsida; Selaginellales; Selaginellaceae
Description: long non-coding RNA (SMOE_LNC001792)
Source: RNAcentral